Long non-coding RNA from Phacochoerus africanus (Common warthog), 3715 nucleotides. RefSeq lists it as uncharacterized. The record is from RefSeq and is a predicted model, not a curated record. The transcript is spliced from 2 exons. Lineage: Eukaryota; Metazoa; Chordata; Mammalia; Artiodactyla; Suidae.
UCAACUGUGCCUCAAUAAAACUUUAAAAAGUGAAAAAGGGCACAUUUUAGGGGAAAUGAAAGUUGUGAGAUGGAAAUGGGGGCGUUAAUGCCUUAACCUAUUCUAAAACUUUUGCUCAUAAAUGUCAAGGAGAGACAAUGUCAGAGUGAUAGUCUAUGUGUGCUUGAAACAACAGAUGAGAAGGAGACCAAAAAGCCUUGAAGUUAAGUAAAAGUUGGAAUCGACUUUUAAAUUAAGUAUGUUCCAUGGGGGUUAAUGUUAUUUGAAAGCUGAAUAGCCCAUGUCAAAAAUAGAUUUCCCUUUCUCUCCAAAGUGUAGCAAAAAAUAACCACAUGCCUUUCUUGGACUCCUGACUCUCACCCCAAAGGGUUUUCUUGUAUAAGAACCAACAAUUCCUUGGAUGGAAACACUGGAUAGGCUAGUCAUUAUUUUGAGAUUCAGAAGAUUGCAGAUUCUUGGCAGAGCUCAGUUGUUUUUCUAGUAGUAGGCAAGUGGUUGGACAAAAAGCAAGAAGCGGAUCCGUGUUGCUGGCUUUGGAUUCUUUGAACAAAUGAGACAGACUGAAAAUUACACAGCCUCUUAGGGGGCCCUCAAUGGAGACAUGAUGGAUCACGUGACCACCUUUUCUUCCUGCUUCCCCACUUUGCUCCCUCCUGCCCUUGACUCCUGUCCUCUGGACGCACUCUCCAAAAUAAUCUUCCUUUCCAAAAGCCCUCGUCACAGGCUCUGCUUUCUGCAAGGAACUCGGGGCAGGACAGCACAAUGAUACACUAGAAUGAAGGCGAAUUGUCUGUCUGUGAAUGGGCUUCAAAGAGAACUUGGGGAAACACCAGACCAGAUGCUCAUUGGAAUCAGAGCAUACAGAAUAGAAUGGACAGGCCCCCAUCCAGCUCUAACAAGUUCAAGUGUACGCUAACAAGUAUCUGAGUCUUCCAUGAAGAACAGGAGGAGAAGCUCCCCCAGCCUUGUCAAGCCUUUUGAACAUCUGUAAAAGUACAUGUGACACGGAGAAGAAGCAGAGGACAAAAGAGCGCUUGGACAAACAUUCAGGAAUCCCAAUCGCAGGAGACUUUGGCCCUCUUUCUAGAUCUAAUUAUAAAACUGCAAAUGAUGCUGGCCUAUUCCAAGGAAGUUGUUGCUCUCACUCUAGACGUGGUCUCUGGCGACAAGUAAAGGUGGGGAAGAUGGCAGGGAGUGCCUCUUUGCCUCUGUCAUGAUCCCUUGUGAGGCAGUGUGGCCUUUCCAUCAGCCCGGUUGUUGGCUGCAUGCUCAGGAUUCUGAAAAAUCUAGUUACCUCCCUGUAUCUUUCUGUACCUGUAGAGAGUACAUCUGUAUGAUCUAGUCCAGUGGUUCUCAGAAUGUGGAUGAGACGACCUUUUGCUGAAGGCAGAUUUCCACGGGAGGGAGGUUAAGAAAGCCAAUUCUUGGGUCCCACCCCAGAUCUUCAGCAGUCUGUUCUGACGAGCCUUCCAGGUGAUUCUGAAGCUGGCUUAAGUUUGCAAACCACUUCCCUGGGUCUCUUCCCUCUCACCCUGGCUUUCAAGCUUAGGUGGGCUUCACCAUUGAUUCCAUACGCUGCCCAGAGAAUGGGCUCAGAAACAAAAGAUUUCUUUCUUUACCUCUUGAUAGCCAAGAGGUAAAUAAAGGGCUAGAACUGUGUAGGUAGCUACCUGGAUUACAGAGAGAUAUUUGCUGGACUUUGGAAGUCAGCUGUUUGGAAUGUGAGCUAUUUUCCUGGGAGUGGUGGUUAGGUUCCCAUAGCAUCAUAGUUAAUCCUGAAUCCAGCCAAAAUACUGCUGUGUCACAAUGAAAUGGAGCAGAUCACGAUGCUCCUGUGGUAUUAGAAACCAAUCAGGACAAAAUAAAGCAAUAAAUAAAACACAGGGAUAGUAUUUUAUUUAUGCCAGUACUGUGGUGGAAGGAAAGGUUGAUUUGGAGGUGAUGAAAAAGGUAAAUGGGGAUUUGUCAAGAUUAUGAUGGAGUGGCUGGCCUUUCCCUUUAGAAUGUCAUGGUACUAAGUUCUCUAGUUAGACUUGUCUUGAAUGUGGUUCUGGCCUGUUACUUUAUCUUCUUCUGAAGUCAGAUUUCUCACUAGGAGGGAGGUAAAGAAUGCUGAGGCAAGUUGGCAAGAGUUGAAAAGGAGCAUGGAAAGAGUAAGGGACUAAAAGAGAAUGUGGGUUUGCUUCUCAUGAACACGAGCAUCAGCAGAGACAGGACUCACUUGAGUUGUGAGCGGUGAGAGAUGGCUGGGCCAAGAGAGGGUCAGCAUUCUUUGCUGACAAAAGAGAGGAAAGAAAGCAGACAAAAAAGCCGACCAUAUCGCUCGGGAGCUGCUGUUCUGGAAGCGUUCCUGCCCCUCGUAUUGUCCUGAGAAUUGGCCCUCAACAGUCACCUUUCAUGUCAUCUUGCUCCUCUCUGGCCACAGAUGGGCAGCUGACCAGAGGCCUUGACAGUGACCACUGAUAUGGCAUCAGAAGAUGAGCUGGACCAAUCCGACGUCCUCCCUUUUCCUUCUAGGCAUUUGAACUUGGAAAUACCCAGAAUGGUCGUUCGAUCUGUGAUGGGAAGAAGUACGUGGCUGUGAGCAUGUUACUUGUUUUCCAGUCAAAUGCUUCUAGCUUGCUUUCCUCUGGUGGCUAAAAUACUUUCUUCAGGGGUUCACCCUGCAUUUAUUCAGGAUUUUAUUUUUGUACCAUAAAAAUGAUCCUCGCUGACAGUUGCAUGGCUGGAUUCGGGGAAAUGUGGUAGCCCUAAUGGAAUUAAUUAAUUGAAUAAUAUUGCCUGACAAAUGGCUCUGUAUACCAAAGAGGGAUUGAGACCUAAUUACCGAUGUCAUUUAUCUCUCUAUUUGCACCCCAACAAUAAAUGACUCGUUUCUCAUUAACGUUGGGUCAUCUUCCAAAAGGAAGAAAAAGAGGCCAAAAUAUCAGGGAGGGAAGAAAAAAAAAACGAUGUCUUUGUUCCCCACCUCAUUAUCCUGAUAAAUCACAACAGACUCUGUUAAUUAGAUGGGCAGCUUUAACUGGCUGACUCCUGUCCAACAAUUACCUCAGAGAGACGCACCACUGGGAAUAUUUCCUUCCCUUGGGAGGAGAUGAAAGGAAGUCUGUAACAAAAAAAAAAAAAAAAAGGAUCAUUCCCCCAGCAUGACUGGGGGGAAUUACAGUUGUCAAGGUGAAUUUCUAGACUGAAGGGCUGGAGUUGUUUCAGGGGUGGCACAUUAGGGCGAUGGCGGGAUGUCUGACGCCACCCUCCUUAUCUCAGGCUUAGGUAAUGGCCCCUGGUGCCUCCAGUUCCCCCCCGACCCCCAUCAGAUUAGAGCCUAAUUAAACAGGGGAACAGGUGUAAGAGGGCCUGAUUUGAUCUGGCCAAAUUAAUUGCUGAGAUUGGGCUUGCAGUUGGGAACUGGAAACAGUGAAUUAACUACAGCCGGAAUACAGCUAAUCCCUCAGUAUCGCCUCGUCUGUGUAUAAAAUAGACUGGACUCACCGGGAACACAAACAAAGAGGGAUUUGAAGUGAAGGUACGACGCAUCCUUGCAUGGGAAGUGUUGGGCAAUGAACUUCACCACAGACGGUGGUCCUAUGUCCCAGACUGCACUCCGGGGACAGUCCUGGGUUAUGCCUGUUGUCUCUGCAAAAUUAUUCAUCGUGCCCCCUGUCAUUCUCAGAAACACUCCUGUUUAGACUGUAAAUUAAAUAAUUAUUGCAUUUCA